Molecule: ribosomal RNA, 440 nt
Filed under: uncultured bacterium
Lineage: Bacteria
Description: partial 16S ribosomal RNA
Rfam family: Bacterial small subunit ribosomal RNA
Source: RNAcentral
CCUACGGGAGGCAGCAGUGGGGAAUAUUGCACAAUGGGGGAAACCCUGAUGCAGCGACGCCGCGUGAGCGAUGAAGUAUUUCGGUAUGUAAAGCUCUAUCAGCAGGGAAGAAAAUGACGGUACCUGACUAAGAAGCCCCGGCUAACUACGUGCCAGCAGCCGCGGUAAUACGUAGGGGGCAAGCGUUAUCCGGAUUUACUGGGUGUAAAGGGAGCGUAGACGGUCGUGCAAGCCAGAUGUGAAAGCCCGGGGCUCAACCCCGGGACUGCAUUUGGAACUGUAAGGCUAGAGUGUCGGAGAGGCAGGCGGAAUUCCUAGUGUAGCGGUGAAAUGCGUAGAUAUGAGGAGGAACACCAGUGGCGAAGGCGGCUUGCUGGACGAUGACUGACGUUGAGGCUCGAAAGCGUGGGGAGCAAACAGGAUUAGAUACCCCAGUAGUC